RNAcentral lists this ribosomal RNA (253 nucleotides) under uncultured bacterium. RNAcentral describes it as "partial 16S ribosomal RNA". It matches the Rfam family "Bacterial small subunit ribosomal RNA", at positions 524 to 776 of the family's 1533-position model. The record is from RNAcentral.
UACGAAGGGGGCUAGCGUUGCUCGGAAUCACUGGGCGUAAAGCGCACGUAGGCGGAUUUCUAAGUCAGGGGUGAAAUCCUGGAGCUCAACUCCAGAACUGCCUUUGAUACUGGGAAUCUCGAGUCCGGGAGAGGUGAGUGGAACUGCGAGUGUAGAGGUGAAGUUCGUAGAUAUUCGCAAGAACACCAGUGGCGAAGGCGGCUCACUGGCCCGGUACUGACGCUGAGGUGCGAAAGCGUGGGGAGCAAACAGG